CUGGGGAAGCUGAAAGGCAGAAGA
This 24-nucleotide non-coding RNA is filed under the name Cricetulus griseus (Chinese hamster). Lineage: Eukaryota; Metazoa; Chordata; Mammalia; Rodentia; Cricetidae. The record is from RNAcentral.